This 253-nucleotide ribosomal RNA is filed under the name uncultured bacterium. Its description in RNAcentral is "partial 16S ribosomal RNA". It matches the Rfam family "Bacterial small subunit ribosomal RNA", at positions 524 to 776 of the family's 1533-position model. The record is from RNAcentral.
UACGUAGGGUGCGAGCGUUAAUCGGAAUUACUGGGCGUAAAGCGUGCGCAGGCGGUUUUGUAAGACAGAGGUGAAAUCCCCGGGCUUAAACUGGGAACUGCCUUUGUGACUGCAAGGCUUGAGUGCGGCAGAGGGGGAUGGAAUUCCGCGUGUAGCAGUGAAAUGCGUAGAUAUCCGGAGGAACACCAGUGGCGAAGGCGGCUUCCUGGCCCGAAUCUGACGCUGAGGUGCGGAAGCGUGGGGAGCGAUCCGG